RNAcentral lists this ribosomal RNA (253 nucleotides) under uncultured bacterium. RNAcentral describes it as "partial 16S ribosomal RNA". It matches the Rfam family "Bacterial small subunit ribosomal RNA", at positions 524 to 776 of the family's 1533-position model. The record is from RNAcentral.
UACAGAGGUCCCAAGCGUUGUUCGGAUUCACUGGGCGUAAAGGGUGCGUAGGUGGUGAACUAAGUCGGGUGUGAAAUCUCCGGGCUCAACCCGGAGCGUGCGCCCGAAACUGGUUUGCUAGAGGAUAGGAGGGGCGACUGGAAUUCUCGGUGUAGCAGUGAAAUGCGUAGAUAUCGAGAGGAACACCGGUGGCGAAGGCGAGUCUCUGGACUAUUCCUGACACUGAAUCACGAAAGCCGGGGGAGCAAACGGG